Molecule: ribosomal RNA, 771 nt
Filed under: Pilea swinglei
Lineage: Eukaryota; Viridiplantae; Streptophyta; Magnoliopsida; Rosales; Urticaceae
Description: eukaryotic LSU rRNA
Rfam family: 5.8S ribosomal RNA (bases 291-446)
Source: RNAcentral
UCUGCCCCGGCGUCCAUUGRUGAGGAAGUCCACUGAACCUUAUCAUUUASAGGAAGGAGAAGUCGUAACAAGGUUUYCGUAGGUGAACCUGCGGAAGGAUCAUUGUCGAAACCUGCAAAGCAGAAUGACCCGCGAACAUGUUAUUAUCGUACCUCGGCAAUGUGCGGGCUUUGUCCCAAAACAUUCUCGAACAUAACUAAUCAUCGAGCGCGGUAUGCGCCAAGGAAAAUCUAAAGAACAUAACCGCCCCGUGGUAAGCUCGGGGAUGCGUUUGUUCCACAAGUCAAAACGACUCUCGGCAACGGAUAUCUCGGCUCUCGCAUCGAUGAAGAACGUAGCGAAAUGCGAUACGUGGUGUGAAUUGCAGAAUUCCGUGAAUCAUCGAGUUUUUGAACGCAAGUUGCGCCCGAAGCCAUUUGGCUGAGGGCACGCCUGCCUGGGCGUCACGCAUCGUUGCCCCCCUCUUCAAGCACAUUUGCUCACGAAACGGGCUAUGAGCUUGUUGGGCGGGGGCGUAAAUUGGCUUCCCGUUUGCUCGUCUUCCGGUUGGCCUAAAAUCGAAUUCAUUAGCUACAACCACCGUGSCACAUGGUGGUAUUUGAACAAAUCGUAACCCGCCACGCGCGUUUGUCAKCCUAACGGAUGGUUUAAAACCCRAAAUGUGUCAACUCUAUUUUAGGGGNGGGCUCUUCUUACCGCGACCCCAGGUUSAGGCGGGGAUUACCCGCUGAAUUUUAGCCAUUAUCAAUAAGCGGAGGGAAAANAAAACUU